Ribosomal RNA from Dethiosulfovibrio peptidovorans DSM 11002, 2975 nucleotides. It matches the Rfam family "Bacterial large subunit ribosomal RNA". The record is from Rfam. NCBI's taxonomy places the organism in Bacteria, Thermotogati, Synergistota, Synergistia, Synergistales, Dethiosulfovibrionaceae.
GGUUAAGGUAAUAAGGGCAUACGGUGGAUGCCUAGGCACCUGAAGCCGAAGAAAGACGUGGCAAGCUGCGAAAAGCCACGGGUAGGAGCAAGCAUCCUUUGAUCCGUGGAUAUCUGAAUGGGGCAACCCGGCCGAGCAACCCUCGGUCAUCCCGUAAGGGAAGGAACCCGGCGAAGUGAAACAUCUCAGUAGCCGGAGGAAAAGAAAUCGAGAGAGAUACCCUGAGUAGUGGUGAGCGAAAGGGGAGCAGCCUAAACCCGGUAAGUGUAAGACUGCAAUCGUUGCUUAUGGGGGGUUGUGGGAAUAUGUACUCGUGACUUGCAGGUUGCGACAGCAGUUACAAAAGAAAUCGUUAGACGAACCGUGUUGGGAAAGCGGACCGCAGAGGGUGAAAGUCCCGUAGUCGAAAGCGAAAUCUCUGUUGACAUAUCUCCCGAGUAGGCCGGAGCACGAGGAAUUCCGGUUGAAUCCGGGCGGACCAUCGUCCAAGGCUAAACACUUCAGGUGACCGAUAGCGAAUAGUACCGAGAGGGAAAGGUGAAAAGCACCCCUGGCGGGGAGUGAAACAGACCUGAACCCGUAUGCCUACAAGCAAUCGGAGCUGGAAAUGCCGCGAGGCAUGGAAAGUGACGGUGUGCCUAUUGAAAAAUGAGCCUGCGAGAUACUGCGUGUAGCAAGGUUAGGGCUAUAAGUCCGCAGCCGAAGGGAAACCGAGUCUAAACAGGGCGCAAGUUUCACGUAGUAGACCCGAAGCCCGACGAUCUAGCCAUGGCCAGGUUGAAGUGAGGGUGAAACCUCAUGGAGGACCGAACCAGUAUCUGUUGAAAAAGAUUUGGAUGAGCUGUGGUUAGGAGUGAAAAGCUAAUCGAGUUGGGUAAUAGCUGGUUCUCCCCGAAAUGCAUUGAGGUGCAGCCUCAGGUAUUUCGUCUCGGGGGUAGAGCACUGGAUGGAUGCGGGGGACUGGGGUCCUACCAAAUUCAACUAAACUCCGAAUACCGAGACGUGAAGCCUGGGAGUGAGACUACGGGUGAUAAGGUCCGUGGUCGAAAGGGAAACAGCCCAGACCGUCGGCUAAGGUCCCAAAGACAUGCUAAGUGUGGCAAGGAUGUGGAGAUGCCCAAACAGCCAGGAGGUUGGCUUAGAAGCAGCCAUCCUUUAAAGAGUGCGUAAUAGCUCACUGGUCGAGGAUCUCUGCGCCGAAAAUGUAGGGGGCUAAGCAUGACACCGAAGCCACGGGAUGUAUGUAAAUACAUCGGUAGGGGAGCGUUGCCAUUGGAGUGAAGCCGUAUUGUAAAGUGCGGUGGACCGAUGGGAAGUGAGAAUGCAGGCAUGAGUAACGACAAACAAGUGAGAAUCUUGUUCACCGGAAGACCAAGGUUUCCUGGGGAAGGUUGAUCCGCCCAGGGUUAGGCGGGACCUAAGGCGAGGCUGAGAAGCGUAGUCGAUGGACAGCAGGUAGACAUUCCUGCCCCGUUCUUGGACGUUAUUACCGAAGUGGUGACGCAGGAGGCUAGGUGUAGCCGGCGGAUGGAAGAGCCGGUCCAAGGGAGUAGGCAGGGUAGGCAGGAAAAUCCACCUACCUGAUAAUGCUGAGACCUGAAGGGGAGUGCUUACGAGCGCGAAGACAUUGACGCCACGCUGCCGAGAAAAGCCACUAGGGAGGAAGAGAACGCCCGUACCCGAAACCGACACAGGUGGUCUGGCUGAGAAGGCUAAGGUGAGUGGAAUAACCAUCGUUAAGGAACUCUGCAAGUUGACUCCGUAACUUCGGGAGAAGGAGUGCCACCCUGGUGAAGCUAAUGCUGGUGGAGCUGAGGGUGGUCGCAGAAACCAGGCCCAAGCGACUGUUUACUAAAAACACAGGACUCUGCAGAAGGCGCAAGCCGACGUAUAGGGUCUGACGCCUGCCCGGUGCUGGAAGGUUAAGGGGAGAGGUUAGUCUUCGGGCGAAGCUUUGAACCGAAGCCCCAGUAAACGGCGGCCGUAACUAUAACGGUCCUAAGGUAGCGAAAUUCCUUGUCGGGUAAGUUCCGACCUGCACGAAUGGCGUAACGAUUUGGGCGCUGUCUCGACGAUGGAUCCAGUGAAAUUGUGGUACCGGUAAAGACACCGGUUACCCGUGGUGGGACGGAAAGACCCCGUGGAGCUUUACUGUAGCCUGGCAUUGGGACUCGGCACAUCAUGUACAGGAUAGGUGGGAGCCUGAGAAGCGAGUACGUCAGUAUUCGUGGAGGCGUUGUUGGGAUACCACCCUUGUUGUGUUAAGUUUCUAACCGCUGCUUCUGAAUCGGAGAGCGGGACAUUGUCAGGUGGGCAGUUUGACUGGGGCGGUCGCCUCCUAAAGAGUAACGGAGGCGCGCAAAGGUCAUCUCAGGGCGAAUGGAAAACGCCCGAAGAGCGUAAGGGUAUAAGAUGGCUUGACUGUGAGACAGACAUGUCGAACAGAGACGAAAGUCGGUCCUAGUGAUCCGGCGGUACCGAAUGGAAGGGCCGUCGCUCAUCGGAUAAAAGCUACCCCGGGGAUAACAGGCUGAUCUCCCCCGAGAGUUCCCAUCGACGGGGAGGUUUGGCACCUCGAUGUCGGCUCGUCGCAUCCUGGGGCUGAAGCAGGUCCCAAGGGUUGGUCUGUUCGCCCAUUAAAGCGGUACGUGAGCUGGGUUUAGAACGUCGUGAGACAGUUCGGUCCCUAUCCACCAUGGGCGUAAGGUAUUUGAGGAGAGCUGCUCCUAGUACGAGAGGACCGGAGUGGACGCACCGCUGGUGUACCAGUUGUGUCGCCAGAUGCAUAAGCUGGGUAGCUAUGUGCGGAACGGAUAACCGCUGAAGGCAUCUAAGCGGGAAGCCGCCUCCAAGAUGAGAUACCUCACUGCGUAAGCAGGUAAGGCGUCCCGUAGACGACGGGGCAGAUAGGCCGGAGGUGGAAGCGUGGCAACGCGUGGAGCUGACCGGUACUAAUACGCCGAGGCCUUAACCUC